GAAAAAAAAAAAUCUAACAGUUCUUUGCCACUAUACUAGUGUAUUUAAUUAUGAUUGCGAAAAAUUGCAGAGGGAAACGAUUUGCUGGCAAUUAAGUAGCAACUGGUUAAAGUUUUUUUUCAAUUUGUCUUUGAAGACAACUGCUGUACUAUGUAUAAAGAAGAGUAUAGCAGGGAAGUUCGAAAGCACACACGGAAUUUUAAAUCUGUUAAAAAUAUUUUUUAAGCAAAGAAGGUGGUAUUUUAAAAGCAUUUAAAACAGCGCCUGGUAUAUAGUAAGCGCCAUAGAAGUCUGUUAAGAAUGCAUAGGGCAAGAGAGCUCAGGGUUUUGAACGCUAUCAAAAUAAUAUGCUUAUUUAUCUGCAAAACACAAUAGCAAUUAGGCAGCACGAGAUUUCCCCAUUAGGUCGUUUAUUCUCCUCAGCUGUUUAUUCCAUUUGCCUGUCCCUUGGUUGAGCGCCUUGUCUGUCUAUAACCGAAAGUGCGUUUCGGGUCAGAGAGACAGAAACAGACACAGGAAACCCUUUAAAGCGCCCCCGCCGACUUAAAUACGGUAGUGGAUUGGAGGUGGGGAGGUGUAGGGGAGGCGUUAUGUGGAGAGAAAGAAAAGAGAAAGAAUGAGGGAACGGCGGGAUUUCAAGCCUCCCCGCCCUUCUGCGACAACCUUUUCAGCGAAAGGGAAGGCUUAGGAAGAAAAGAUGUCCGCGCGUAGAGCAAACCGCAGUUCUUUCCUUUCUUUUUGAAGGAUUUGUACCAUGAGUUAAUUACACCAAAAGAUACGAGGGACUUUAUUAGAAAGGAGAUGCCGUUAGGAAAGAAAGGCCAGGACGGCCGAUCUAAAGGGAAUGGAGAAGGGAAGACUCAGACGCCCUCCCGAAAUUGGUGGUCUAGCCUGUGUUUUGUGCUAAAUGUUAUUUAACUUAAUGGCGUGGGAGUGAGAUGUUGAAUGCAGAGAUCUGGAAAUACCAGAUUUAGUGGUCCUGUUCCUCCUCCCCGACUCUUUUCACACCCAUUUAAUAAAAAGUUACAGUUUUUACACCCGUAUUGAUAAAUUUGGCGAUGUUGGCCAAGUAUUAUCUCGCCCCGCAGAUUUUGAAUUUUGUUGCACAAACCGAUGAAAUGAUUGCUUUGCUAUAAUUGUAAAACUUUUUUGGAACGAACCUGGAUUUUUUUUAUGCCUCUUCAUCUACUUUUUGCUUCAUUAGAGCCCUCUGGUUUUCCAAGAUCGACUGUCACACUUUGUUAUUUGUUGCUUCUCUAAAUCCUUUGAGAUGCUGCUCGCAGCUACGUAAAAAACGUUGGCCACUCAGGUAUUUGAUGGGCUUAGAAAGUCACCAAGAUGUGACACCAUUUAAAAGUUUUAGCUUGGUUUCUCAGUGAAAUAAGGGCAUCUCUGUUAAUUAGAAAACUUUGUGUUAGUCUGAGAUGCCUAAGAGCAUAGUCCAAAUUGAAAAUUCCAAUAUUUUGCCACAUCUGAAAUAUAAUUAUUUACACAGCCUUCUCUUUCAAAGGGAGGACAAACAGGUUGCCUUGAGAAGAGCUAUUCUAUUUGCAAUUGCUGGGGCAGGUGACAAACACGUGUGUAUCUGUGGGCAGCCUUGUUGGGCUGCCUUCCCUGACUACAAGGCUUUUGUGAGCUGGUAACGCCUUAAAAUGUGUGAGAAUGCUGCGCCCUAGGAGUGGAGGCCAAGGGCAAGAUCCUUGUACAUUUCAAUACCUUUUCCAACAUCAGGCUGGCAGCAGGCAGGCCAACCUAGGGUCACUGUGUGACACAUAUUUGCAAGCCAGUAAAGCAAAACAAAGCUGAAAGCAAGUGCAAAUUUAGGCCCACCAACCUUGAAGUCAUCCCUGAAAGGGAGCUGCUUUACUAGUUAAUUUUUCUUGCCCAGUCAGCCACACAAAAUGCAUUGUAUUUCUUGGCUUGCCCCAGUAAUUGCGACUUACUUGUUACAGCAGAAGCUUCAAGGUAGGAAAUCUAUGACCCAAAGCUCUCUCUCGAAAGUUAGAAUGUUUAAACUGAUCUUUAAAACUGUUGUUGAGGGGCAAUUUAUUUAAAAGCUUUUAUUUUAUGGUGUUGUUAGUGCUUAGCAUGCCUCAGGAUAAAGACUAGUUUUAUUGCAGGACCCUUGAGAAGAGGGGUGUAUAGCAAGUAACCAGUUUUCCGUGUGCCAGUAAGCAACAGUGAGAACACUCAGUGUAUUAGCUUAACUUUUUGUGGGAGUUAAAUUGAUGUUGGCAGGCUUUGCCUUUAAGGAAGUUCUUUUAAAUUUCCAUUUUCUUGAAGUUGGUUUGAUUGGCAGAUUUCCCCCCUCUCUUAAGGAUACAAUGAAACAUAUUCACUUCUCUUAUGAAAAUAUUCUUUUAAUAAACUACAUUCCCAUCCCCUAGAAAAAUGCCCAGCACACAGUAGGGGUACAAUAAAUGGUUUCAGAUUAAUUUCUUGUUAAAAUUAAUGAACUCUCUGCUUCUUUACUUGUAUAUGUAGAAUUUACACUCAUUGGAAUAAUAAAAUAGAAGUAAGCAACCGUGCAUUAAAAAGCUAUGAAAAGAUGAAGAGAAUAUGCCUUCAAAUGGGAAGGAAUACUUAACUGUGAAUAAGACCUAGUUCAACAUGGAACUUCCUGGUGGCCAAGUCAGAAGAGAAGCACAGAACAAAAACGGAGGCACAGAGAGGUCAAUUGAUUGGUCUAAUGACACAGAUCUAGCAAGUGGUGGAACCAGGACUGAAUCCAGUCAUUCUCUCUCCUGCCGCCCUGUGAACAGG
RNAcentral lists this long non-coding RNA (2763 nucleotides) under Homo sapiens (human). RNAcentral's name for it is "HSALNT0336742". The record is from RNAcentral. Lineage: Eukaryota; Metazoa; Chordata; Mammalia; Primates; Hominidae.